RNAcentral lists this ribosomal RNA (425 nucleotides) under uncultured Gammaproteobacteria bacterium. Its description in RNAcentral is "bacterial SSU rRNA". It matches the Rfam family "Bacterial small subunit ribosomal RNA", at positions 550 to 975 of the family's 1533-position model. The record is from RNAcentral. Lineage: Bacteria; Pseudomonadati; Pseudomonadota; Gammaproteobacteria.
AUUUCUGGGCGUAAGCGUGCNUAGGCGGUUGCCUAAGUCAGAUGUGAAAGCCCCNGGCUUAACCUGGGAACUGCAUUUGAAACUGUGGUGGNUANAGUUUGGUANAGGAAGGUAGAAUUCCUAGUGUAGCGGUGAAAUGCGUAGAUAUUAGGAGGAAUACCAGUGGCGAAGGCGGCCUUCUGGACCAANACUGACGCUGAGGUACGAAAGCGUGGGGAGCAAACAGGAUUAGAUACCCUGGUAGUCCACGCCGUAAACGAUGUCAACUAGUCGUUGGAUCCUCCGGGAUUUAGUGACGCAGCUAACGCGUGAAGUUGACCGCCUGGGGAGUACGGCCGCAAGGUUAAAACUCAAAUGAAUUGACGGGGGCCCGCACAAGCGGUGGAGCAUGUGGUUUAAUUCGAUGCAACGCGAAGAACCUUACC